This 330-nucleotide ribosomal RNA is filed under the name uncultured eukaryote. RNAcentral describes it as "partial 18S ribosomal RNA". It matches the Rfam family "Eukaryotic small subunit ribosomal RNA", at positions 1470 to 1796 of the family's 1831-position model. The record is from RNAcentral.
CCCUUAGAUGUUCUGGGCCGCACGCGUGCUACACUGAUGCAUUCAACGAGUCUAAAACCUGGUCUGAUAGGGCUGGGUAAUCUUUUGAAAGUGCAUCGUGAUUGGGAUAGAUGAUUGCAAUUCUUCAUCUUCAACGAGGAAUGCCUAGUAAACGCAAGUCAUCAGCUUGUAUUGAUUACAUCCCUGCCCUUUGUACACACCGCCCGUCGCUCCUACCGAUUGAAUGAUCCGAUGAAUACCAUGGAUUGAGAGUACGAAUAGGUUCGCUUAUUUCUGCUGCUCGAGAAGUGGAGUAAAUCUUAUCAUUUAGAGGAAGGAGAAGUCGUAACA